GGGACGGCAGGUAGACUAGUGGUUAGAGUGUAGGAACGGCAGGUAGCCUUGUGGUUAGAGUGUAGGGGCGCAGGUAACCUAGUGGUUAGAGUGUAGGGACGGCAGGUAGCCUUGUGGUUAGAGUGUAGGGGCGGCAGGUAACCUAGUGGUUAGAGUGUAGGGGCGGCAGGGCACCUCGUGGUUAGAGUGUAGGGCGGCAGGGCGCCUCGUGGUUAGAGUGUAGUGGCGGCAGGUAGCCUCGUGGUUAGAGUGUAGAGGAGGCAGGUAGCCUAGUGGUUAGAGUGUAGGGGCAACAGGUAGCCUUGUGGUUAGAGUGUAGGGGCGGCAGGUAGCCUCGUGGUUAGAGUGUAGAGGCGGUAGGUAGCUUAGAGUGGUUAGUGUGUAGAGGCGGCAGGUAGCCUAGUGACAACAGCGGCAGGUAGCCUAGUGGUUAGAGUGUAGAGGCGGCAGGUAGCCUCGUGGUUAGAGUGUAGAGGCGGCAGGUAGCCUCGUGGUUAGAGUGUAGAGGCGGCAAGUAGCCUUGUGGUUAGAGUGUGGGGCUGGCAGGGUAGCCUAGUGGUUAGAGCGUAGGGGCGGCAGGGAGCCUUGUGGUUAGAGUGUAGGGGCGACAGGAAGCCUUGUGUUUAGAGCGUAGGGCUGGUAACCGGGAGGUUGCUGGAUCGAAUCCCCGAGCUGACAAGGUAAAACUUAUGUUGUUCUGCUCCUGAGCAAAAGGCAGUUAACCCACUGUUCCACAGGGCGCCGAUGUCGAUUACGGCAUUCACCCCCCGCACCUCUCUGAAUCAGGUUAAAUGUGGAAGACACAUUUCAGUUGAAUACAUUCAGUUGGACAACGGACUAGGUUUCCCC
Molecule: long non-coding RNA, 849 nt
Organism: Oncorhynchus tshawytscha (Chinook salmon)
Lineage: Eukaryota; Metazoa; Chordata; Actinopteri; Salmoniformes; Salmonidae
Source: Ensembl